RNAcentral lists this transfer RNA (77 nucleotides) under Pyrobaculum neutrophilum V24Sta. RNAcentral's name for it is "tRNA-Pro (TGG) (tRNA-Pro-TGG-1-1)". It matches the Rfam family "tRNA". From Rfam's summary of the family: Transfer RNA (tRNA) molecules are approximately 80 nucleotides in length. Lineage: Archaea; Thermoproteati; Thermoproteota; Thermoprotei; Thermoproteales; Thermoproteaceae. The record is from RNAcentral.
GGGGCCGUCGUCUAGCCUGGUAGGAUGCGUGGCUUGGGCCCACGUGGUCCCGGGUUCAAAUCCCGGCGGCCCCACCA